RNAcentral lists this ribosomal RNA (47 nucleotides) under Anelosimus baeza. RNAcentral's name for it is "partial 28S ribosomal RNA". The record is from RNAcentral. Lineage: Eukaryota; Metazoa; Arthropoda; Arachnida; Araneae; Theridiidae.
CACCUCAAAUCAAACAAUUUGACCCGCUGAAUUUACGCAUAUAAAUA